This 475-nucleotide ribosomal RNA is filed under the name uncultured bacterium. RNAcentral's name for it is "SSU rRNA". It matches the Rfam family "Bacterial small subunit ribosomal RNA", at positions 26 to 518 of the family's 1533-position model. The record is from RNAcentral.
AGGACGAACGCUGGCGGCGUGCUUAACACAUGCAAGUCGAGCGAGGCCCUCUCUUCGGAGAGGUGCCCUAGCGGCGAACGGGUGAGUAACACGUGGGCAACCUGCCCCUAGCACUGGGAUAAGCCCGGGAAACCGGGUCUAAUACCGGAUAUGACCUUCAAGGGCAUCCUCGAAGGUGUAAAGGAUUCUGGCUAGGGAUGGGCCCGCGGCCUAUCAGCUUGUUGGUGGGGUAAUGGCCCACCAAGGCAACGACGGGUAGCCGGCCUGAGAGGGCGACCGGCCACGACUGGGACUGAGACACGGCCCAGACUCCUACGGGAGGCAGCAGUGGGGAAUAUUGCACAAUGGGGGAAACCCUGAUGCAGCGACGCCGCGUGCGGGAUGAAGGCCUUCGGGUUGUAAACCGCUUUCAGCAGGGGCGAAUUCAGACGGUACCUGCAGAAGAAGCGCCGGCUAACUACGUGCCAGCAGCCGC